GUCUUUAAACCAGUGGUGUCCCAAACAACAGUAGACUCUUAGUUAACCAGCACCCAUGGAAAUGGGUAGAUACCAGCUAAAUGUAGUCUCUGGUUGCUUUAGAGCAGGCAUGGAGCAAACUUCAGCCCUCCAUGGGUUUUGGACUUCAACUCCCACAAUUCCUAACAGCCUCAGGCCCUUUUCUUGUUUCCUUCAGCCUGAGGCCAUUAGGAAUUGGGAAAUAAUGAAUAUGGAUAAGUUAACAUAUUUAUUAAAAAAAAACAACCAAGGCAGACCGAAAAAACAGACAGACUGGGAAAUGGUUAAAAACUAUGUGAAAGAAGGGGAAUUUAAGGUGAUUAUUUAACCAAAUUGAGUUAGAGGAUAAGGUCUGCAAAGCAACCGGGUAUGUAAAUAAUAGGCAAUAUGUAAAAUAGAGACACUAGAUAGAGAUGGUUGAGAAAAAGAUUGUAAAACUUCUUUCAUACAAGAUACUGUGUAAAAGAUGGAAGUCAAUUUUAUGUUCUUUCUGUAUUAUUAUUGUUGUUGUUGUUGUUUUUCUUUUCCUUUUCUUACCCCCUCUUCCUUCCUUUCCUGUCACGGAAAUUUUGUAAAAGUUUGUUUUUGUUUUUGGUUUUUUGGUGUUUUUUUUCUUUUCUCUUUCCUUUUGUCAAAUUUUGGUCAUAUUUUAUUUUUAAGUUGAAAAACACUAAUAAAAAUUGAAUUUGAAAAAAAAAAAGGAAUUGUGGGAGUUGAAGUCCAAAACACCUGGAGGGCUGAAGUUUGCCCAUGCCUGAUCUACAGUGAAGUAUUAAAGCAAUUUAACAACCCUUUAACUACCAUGACUCAAUGCUGAUUGUAAAACAGGUGCAGCCCCAAUACCCAUAGAAACACCAUCUAUUUUUAAUUUCAUUGCUCUCUUUUUUCUUUUUUUUUACAGUACAGGAGAUAAAAAGACUUACUAGAUGUAAAAGAAGGCCUGGGUUGUGCCCCUUUAAUCAUUGGCUAACAGGAAGGGAAUCUUUUCUCUUCUCUUCAUAAACCUGCUGAAGUUUCUUUUCUAUACAGCUAUUAAAAGUGCAUGUCCCUUACAACCUUCCUUCACAUCCAGAGCAGGGACAAGUGAAAGAUGGACAUGUGCAGAAAUUAAUUUAAAUUGGCUUCCCAUGUUGCUUAUUGGGAUUAAAGAUGAGUCCUAGCCUGACAUGACAUGGCUGAAAACCUUCAACCAGAGUUUUAAGAAAGAGAAGAUCAAACAACACGAGGAGCUACAAGAGGAAAGAAACAGGUGUUACUGGGGCAGGAGGAAGGUGAAAUGCCAAAGGUUGUCCAAAUUUUUCAAAACACUGAAAAGGAUCUCUGAAAGAAAUAAGGCCAUUGUGAAGUCUACUGUACAAAAUUUGAACAGUGUGGAAUGGAAGCAAAUGCAUCAUACAAAACCUUUUAAGGAUUGAGUUGGUGGGCAGGGACUUGUUCUUUUCAGGUGUAAUCAAAUCCGUAAUAUUUUUUAAUUUUUUGUGUUGUUUUCAAUAUUCAUAACUUGUUUUCCUGUUAAAUUAUCCACAUAGAGUAAGUGCUAGUAAGAGAUAUAUAAUAUAAAUAAUAUAAAAAUGCUAUCAGUCAAAUUAAAUAUUCGCUAUAACUAUUGCAGAAUUCUUCCAGAAAGAAAGAGUUUACAGUUAAUAACCAUGAGACUGGGGUUUUGCAGUUAAUUACUUCUGCCUUUUCCAAGUUCACAGAUACUACUUCUACAUUCACUUGAAAUAAUAAUAAUAAUAAUUUAUGCACUAAAGAACUGGUGGGAUCACAAACCUGCAAAAGUAUUGGAAAAUGAACAUGCAAAGAUACUGUGGGACUUCCGAAGCCAGACUGACAAAGUUCUGGAACACAACACACCAGACUUCACAAUUGUGGAAAAGAAAAAGGUUUGGAUCAUUGAUGUCGCCAUCCCAGGUGACAGUCGCAUUGACGAAAAACAACAGGAAAAACUCAGCCGCUAUCAGGACCUCAAGAUUGAACGUCAAAGACUCUGGCAGAAACCAGUGCAGGUGGUCCCGGUGGUGAUCGGCACAUUGGGUGCCAUGCCAAAAGAUCUCAGCCGGCAUUUGGAAACAACAGACAUUGACAAAAUCACGAUCUGCCAACUGCAAAAGGCCACCCUACUGGGAUCUGCGCGCAUCAUCCAAAAAUACAUCACACAGUCCUAGACACUUGGGAAGUGUUCGACUUGUGAUUUUGUGAUACGAAAUCCAGCAUAUCUAUCCUGUUUGCUGUGUCAUAAAAUAAUAAUAAUAAUAAUAAUAAUAAUAAUAAUAAUAAUAAUAAUAAUAGAUGCAUUCUAAAAUUUUAAACCUUUCCUAUUUUGUGUAUUCUGCAAGAGGGAGGUGUACUUUUGAAUGACAAACUUUGCCUAUUAUUAUUACAGUAGAGUCUCACUUAUCCAACAUAAAUGGGCUGCCAGAAUGUUGGAUAAGUGAAUAUGUUGGAUAAUAAGGAGGGAUUAAGGAAAAGCCUAUUAAACAUCCAAUUACAUCAUGAUUUUACAAAUUAAGCACGAAAACAUCAUGAUUGACAAAAAAUUUGACAGAAAAAGCAGUUCAAUCCACAGCAGUGUUAUGUAGAAAUUACUGUAUUUACGAAUUUAGCACGAAAACAUCACAAUGUAUUGAAAAUAUUGACUACAAAAACAUUGACUACUAAAAGGCAGAUUGCGUUGGAUAAUCCAGAACGUUGGAUAAGUGAAUGUUGGAUAAAUGAGACUCUGCUGUAUUACUAUAUGUAUUUAUUUUUAUCGUGUCAGAAGCAACUUGAGAACAUACUGCAAGUUGCUUCUGGUGUGAGAGAAUUGGCUGUCUACAGAGACGUUGCCCGGGGAAGCCCGGAUGUGUUACCAUCCUGGUUGGAGGCUUCUCUCAUGUCCUGGCAAGGUAGAGUUUAUUUAUAUUUAUGUAUAACCUGCUUUAUCUCCCCAAAGGGGAUUCAAAGCGGCUGAAAGAAGAUGCAUGACCUGGAAGUUUUGCAAAACACAUGUGCAAACAGAAAGGAAACUGUUAAUAAGGGAAACCCUUAUCACUGUGUGAAAUUACCUGUGAAGUUACACAAUUACUUGAAUUAAUAAAAUUAAAAAGGAAGUGAAUGGGGCAAAAAUGGAAAGUUAUGGCUUUGCAGCCAGAGGUCAGUUGAAACGUCAGCAGCUCAGGAACAGGAAAGUGCAGAGGAAAAAAGGAUCACACUAUCAGAUGUUAUUGUCCCUACUCUAGCUUCAAGAGGGAUUUUCAAUUACUGCACAACUGAAAACACUUUGAACAUCAAUUCAGUAUGGUUUCAACGUCCUACAAAUAUUUGUAAAAAGUACUGCUUCAACAUGAGUUGCAGUAAGUUUGAAGUGAUAUUGUGGAAUUGUAACCACUUCUGUUCAUGGCCAGAGAGCUUCAAACGCUACAAGCCUUGUGUGAUAAUGCCCUUGGUUUUAUCAUGGGCUUUUAUGCAUCACAAUCUACUUUGUGGGAUGCGUGGCAUAUAACCUUACCUACAUAUGCACAUAGUUGGAAAUUAAAUCAGAGUAAAAAUGUAUGGAGAAAGUAUUGACAGUACUUUCUGCAGAAUGGUUUUCUUGAAAAGAAUUUUUCAGAAGGGAUUUGCUAUUGCCUUCCUUUCAGGAUGGAAGACCGAUUUGAGUUUCCAUUAAUGAGUGGGGAUUCACACUCUGGAUUUCCAGAACUCUAGUCCAACACUCAAACUGCUACACCAUAGUGGCUCUCAAACAGAGAUCGAACAGAUAAUCGCACAAAAUCUUCAUCUGUGAAUCUGUUACCAAUCUUGUAAUUUCAGUGAAACUAGCAGCCUGAUUUCAUGCAUUUUGCUCAGUUACUCAGGUGAUUCACAAAAUGCAGAUGUGAAAAGAAACUUCAAGAGAGAAAGGAAUUUAAUGCCAGUGCUAAUGCUUUUUGCUUUUGCUUUUUGGUGUGUUUCUUUGCCAAGUACUUUUGCAUUUUUAUAUCACCAUUUGUUCAGAUUUUUUUUUAUAUAUAUAUAAAUAUGGACACUUUAGUUUUGUUUUUGGUUAUUGGUUUUUUUUCUCUCUCUCACUUUUUGAUCCUUUUUUAAUCUCAGUUUUCCUACUUUCUAUACAAUCAAAUGUUCUCACUUUUUCGAUGUUAAUUUACUCUAUCUUAUAAGGUAAAACUUCAAUUAAAAAAAAGAAAAAAAAGAGAGAAAGGAAUUGACUGAGGGAGAGGAAGCAAAAGAAAGUUCUAGUUCCCUAGCUAGUAAGGUUCUUAUAAAUAACUCCACCAAUUUAACCAUUGAUAAUCCAGCUUCAUCCAGGCCUGGCAUAAAUGUUGCUAAUAUUAAAACUUCCCGGACAAAUCCUGUCUCUUAUGUAUAUUUCCGUGUGAGCACAACAUAUACAUGCAUGCACAUAUCAUGCACACAAAUACCAUCCAUCUGUGUACACAAUAUUGGCAGGAAAUAUAUUCCCAUCUCAUACACUUAGUCUGUCAAAAUAAGGACCACUUCACUAGUUUAUUUUUAAGCUGCUUUCUCAUAAAUACCGUAUUGGAAGCUCCAAUAUAUCCAUUCCAAAGUCAUAUGUUUUGCAAGGCAUAUGAGCUGUUCCUAAAAUCCAAAAUAAGUUACGAUGAAAAGAGCGGCUUCACAAAACAGGAAAAAAAAUAAGUCAAAUUGAAAGUCAGGGGAUAAUAUUUAGAUGGAACAGGAUCAUCGCCCUGGGCCUAGUUUCCAUGGUGUCAAAGUCUUAGCUAAAU
RNAcentral lists this long non-coding RNA (4745 nucleotides) under Anolis carolinensis (green anole). RNAcentral's name for it is "lncRNA (ENSACAG00000036813.1)". Lineage: Eukaryota; Metazoa; Chordata; Lepidosauria; Squamata; Anolidae. The record is from RNAcentral.